GAAAUGCGAUAAGUAAUGUGAAUUGCAGAAUUCAGUGAAUCAUCGAAUCUUUGAACGCACCUUGCGCUCCUUGGUAUUCCGAGGAGCAUGCCUGUUUGAUUGUCAUGGAAUUCUCAACUCUAUUUGCUUUUGUGAAUAGAGCUUGGAUUUGGAGGUUUAUUGCUGGUACUUGUGAUCGGCUCCUCUUGAAUGCAUUAGCUCGAACCUUUGCGGAUCAGCUAUCGGUGUGAUAAUUGUCUACGCCGUUGCAGUGAAGCAUAUCAAUGGGCUCGGCUUCCAAUCGUCCUUUACUGGACAAUGACUUUGACCUUUGACCUCAAAUCAGGUAGGAUUACCCGCUGAACUUAAGC
RNAcentral lists this unclassified non-coding RNA (350 nucleotides) under plant metagenome. RNAcentral's name for it is "partial contains 5.8S ribosomal RNA, internal transcribed spacer 2, and large subunit ribosomal RNA". The stretch from base 1 to 105 matches the Rfam family "5.8S ribosomal RNA", at positions 50 to 154 of the family's 154-position model. The record is from RNAcentral.